Molecule: ribosomal RNA, 390 nt
Filed under: Rhopalosoma sp. MDS-2020
Lineage: Eukaryota; Metazoa; Arthropoda; Insecta; Hymenoptera; Rhopalosomatidae
Description: partial small subunit ribosomal RNA
Source: RNAcentral
UAAGAGCGACGGGCGAGGUGGUAACUAGGAUUAGAUACCCUAUUAUUAUGAUAAUAAUAAAUAUUAGAGUAUUAAAUGAUAUAUCAUUAAAUUUAAAAAAGUUGGCAGUUUUAUUAAAUUAGGGGAACUUGUUUUUUAAUAGAUAAUCCACUUAAAAAUAAGCUUAAAAGUAUUUUAUGUAUUGCUGUUUUAAAUUAAUUUUUUUUUAAAUUAAUAAAAAUUAUAAUAAUAAAAUAAUUCAAGUCAAAGUGUAGAAUUUUUAAGAUAAGAUGAGUUACAAUUUAUAUUUAUUUAAUAAUUAUUUUUAAAGUAAAUUUGAUAGANGGAUUUAAAAGUAAAUUUAUAUAUUUAUAUAAGUUGAAUAUAAUAAAUAAUUUGUACACAUCGCCG